AUUAUUGGGCGUAAAGAGCUCGUAGGCGGUUUGUCGCGUCUGCUGUGAAAUCCCGAGGCUCAACCUCGGGUCUGCAGUGGGUACGGGCAGACUAGAGUGCGGUAGGGGAGAUUGGAAUUCCUGGUGUAGCGGUGGAAUGCGCAGAUAUCAGGAGGAACACCGAUGGCGAAGGCAGAUCUCUGGGCCGUAACUGACGCUGAGGAGCGAAAGGGUGGGGAGCAAACAGGCUUAGAUACCCUGGUAGUCCACCCCGUAAACGUUGGGAACUAGUUGUGGGGUCCAUUCCACGGAUUCCGUGACGCAGCUAACGCAUUAAGUUCCCCGCCUGGGGAGUACGGCCGCAAGGCUAAAACUCAAAGGAAUUGACGGGGACCCGCACAAGCGGCGGAGCAUGCGGAUUAAUUCGAUGCAACGCGAAGAACCUUACCAAGGCUUGACAUACACCAGAACACCGUAGAAAUACGGGACUCUUUGGACACUGGUGAACAGGUGGUGCAUGGUUGUCGUCAGCUCGUGUCGUGAGAUGUUGGGUUAAGUCCCGCAACGAGCGCAACCCUCGUUCUAUGUUGCCAGCACGUAAUGGUAGGAACUCAUGGGAUACUGCCGGGGUCAACUCGGAGGAAGGUGGGGAUGACGUCAAAUCAUCAUGCCCCUUAUGUCUUGGGCUUCACGCAUGCUACAAUGGCCGGUACAAAGGGCUGCAAUACCGUGAGGUGGAGCGAAUCCCAAAAAGCCGGUCCCAGUUCGGAUUGAGGUCUGCAACUCGACCUCAUGAAGUCGGAGUCGCUAGUAAUCGCAGAUCAGCAACG
This 809-nucleotide ribosomal RNA is filed under the name uncultured bacterium. RNAcentral describes it as "bacterial SSU rRNA". It matches the Rfam family "Bacterial small subunit ribosomal RNA", at positions 550 to 1356 of the family's 1533-position model. The record is from RNAcentral.